CCUACGGGAGGCAGUAGUGGGGAAUAUUGCACAAUGGGGGAAACCCUGAUGCAGCGACGCCGCGUGAGUGAAGAAGUAUUUCGGUAUGUAAAGCUCUAUUAGCAGGGAAGAAAAUGACGGUACCCGAUUAAGAAGCCCCGGUUAACUACGUGCCAGCAGCCACGGUAAUACGUAGGGGGCAAGCGUUAUCCGGAUUUAGUGGGUGCAAAGGGGGCGUAGACGGCAGCACAAGUCUGGAGUGAAAUGCCGGGGCUUAACCCCGGAACUGCUUGGGAAACUGUGCAGCUAGAGUGCAGGAGAGGUAAGUGGAAUUCCUGGUGUAGCGGUGCAAUGCGUAGAUAUUAGGAGGAACACCAGUGGCGAAGGCGGCUUACUGGACUGUAACUGACAUUGAGGCUCGAAAGCGUGGGGAGCAAACAGGAUUAGAUACCCCGGUAGUC
This 440-nucleotide ribosomal RNA is filed under the name uncultured bacterium. RNAcentral describes it as "partial 16S ribosomal RNA". It matches the Rfam family "Bacterial small subunit ribosomal RNA", at positions 338 to 795 of the family's 1533-position model. The record is from RNAcentral.